CUCAUGAGUGCUUGAGAAAAUGAGCGUUGAGAAUCCCCAUGGCCCCGCGGCCUAACAUGUCUCCCAAUUUUCCAAGCUUGGAUAUACGGGGAAACCCAAUCCCUUGGGCGGAUAGGUUACAUGGCUAAAUUGAGAGAG
Molecule: non-coding RNA, 138 nt
Organism: Anopheles gambiae (African malaria mosquito)
Lineage: Eukaryota; Metazoa; Arthropoda; Insecta; Diptera; Culicidae
Source: Rfam